AGCAGCCGCGGUAAUUCCAGCUCCAAUAGCGUAUAUUAAAGUUGUUGCAGUUAAAAAGCUCGUAGUUGAAUUUCGGGGUUAGUAGGUUGGUCAUGCCUCUGGUAUGUACUGAUCUCACUGAUUCCUCCUUCCUGAUGAACCGUAAUGCCAUUAAUUUGGUGUUGCGGGGAAUUUGGACUGUUACUUUGAAAAAUUGAGUGUUUAAAGCAGGCUCACGCUUGAAUACAUUAGCAUGGAAUAAUGAAAUAGGACGUUUGAUUCUAUUUUGUU
Molecule: ribosomal RNA, 270 nt
Filed under: uncultured Glomus
Lineage: Eukaryota; Fungi; Glomeromycota; Glomeromycetes; Glomerales; Glomeraceae
Description: partial 18S ribosomal RNA
Rfam family: Eukaryotic small subunit ribosomal RNA
Source: RNAcentral